Molecule: long non-coding RNA, 1731 nt
Filed under: Homo sapiens (human)
Lineage: Eukaryota; Metazoa; Chordata; Mammalia; Primates; Hominidae
Description: HSALNT0035531
Source: RNAcentral
GAGAGUAUAACCAUUCGUAGGGAAUGUCUAAUGAAGUCUUAGAGGGUGGGUCUAUCAGGCCUUCAAGUUACUUAAAGGGAUGUGGAGAGUAACAAUCCCUUUUGCUAUAGUAACAACACCUCUGUGAUUGUCACAUGGUUCCCAUUGUUUCAUGUGAGAAAAACAGUCUUUAUCAGAAGCAUAUUUAAUACACUCCAAAGUAUUUGUAGUGACCUUAAACAUUUGUAAUUACCAGUAUAUUUACAAGCAAUUCCCUGCAGAUGCACGAUAAUGAUGCUGUGAUUCCUCAGCGCCUGUGCCACUCAUAGAUCUUCCAUUAUCCAGAGCUAUAGGUCUCUGUAAUACCCAGGGUCUCAAUGGGCAGCAGCUUCGUCUUGGUUUGGGGCUCCCCUUAUUCUGCCCAUUUUUCUGCCCUUGGGUAUUAUUUCCCAUAGGUCAUCAGUAUGAAGGGUUGAUUAGUAAUGCUAGAUCUGUUUACUUCAAAAAACAUCUCUGUUUCUUCCUCCAGCUGUUGAAGCCUGAAUCAGGAUAAACUUGAAACUCUGGGUCAAUCUAGAACCCCACAUCAAUUGUCUCCAAAGGAAGAAGGCCAAGGAAAGAGAGUCUCCAUCUCCUGUCAAGCCACCGCUCAUGUACACGGAGAAAUGCUUUGAAGCUGGAUAAAACUUGGAAACAGAUUUGAACCCCUAUACCUCACAUGUCUGCCUCUGCCCAGGCAUCCCAGCCUGGUUGUGCAGCAAGGGAAGUGGAAUCAACUACAUCGACAUGAGAAGACUAGAACCUGGGGAGUCCAGGGAGCAUUACUCAUGCAUCACUAAGGGUGGGCAGACUGCUGUGGUAUAGCCUGUACACAACCCCCUGCUCCUUUCCAGGGGCCUGAAUUUCAAGGGCAGUUACUGGUAAACUGCUUGCUAAGAUUUAGGUUCAGAGAGAAGCAGUUCUGGAUUGCAAUACACAAUUUCGUGUGUGUGUGUGUGUGUGUGGGGGGGGUGAAUAUAGUUGUCACUCUUGCUACCCUUUCCCUUUUCCCUUUGCUGUACUUCUGCUGACCCCCCAUGGCCAUAUCUUUUCCUCACUGCUCUAUCUGAAGCUGGAGAAGGCAGCCCUGCCUGUACACAUGGCCUAUCACAGCACCUGGAAUGAGCAUCCUCUCGGAAAGCCCUCAAUCAGUGAGGACAGGGAGGUGUAUACAUACCCCAUCUCCCUCCCUUCUUAGGUGGAAAAAUACUGAGACAUUUUCCCAUGUUUCCACGUGGGCUUGAUCUCCAUUCAUCCUCUGUGGUAGCUUCUCGCUGAGGACAUUUUCGGUAUCGCUGCUCUCUUUCCUCUCUCACUGCCUUGUUUCCUCCUAGUGUUUACUGUGCAUUAUAAAUAUGCUGCCUGCAUGGGCAUCAUUGUCCCUGAAAGAUCCAACCUAAAACAGUGGACAAACCCUCAUUCUUGGAAAGUAUAGUCUGAAUACUUGCCAAUUCUUUUUUUUUCAUGCAUAGGGAUAUUCAGAAAAUUUAGGAAACAGCUGAAUUAUCUAGGAAAGACAGCGUCAUCAGAAGGGUCUUUAUAAUAGGGAGGAGUGGGGGUAACAGUCAGAGAGGAAUAGGGACAAUGGACAGGGAUGCUUCAGUGAUGGAGAAAGGGGCCAGGCAGCCCGGAACAUGGGGCUAUCUUUGAAGAUGAAAAGCUGAGAAUCAGAUUCUCUCCCCUGGAACUUCCAGAAGGAAUAUAGAACUACGG